GAUGAACGCUAGCUACAGGCUUAACACAUGCAAGUCGCGGGGCAGCAUGAAUUUAGCUUGCUAAAUUUGAUGGCGACCGGCGCACGGGUGAGUAACGCGUAUCCAACCUGCCCUUGUCCACGGGAUAACCCGGUGAAAACCGGCCUAAUACCGUAUGUUGUCACAUGCUGGCAUCAAAGUGUGACAAAAGGUUUGGCGGACAAGGAUGGGGAUGCGUCCGAUUAGCUUGACGGCGGGGUAACGGCCCACCGUGGCGACGAUCGGUAGGGGUUCUGAGAGGAAGGUCCCCCANAUUGGAACUGAGACACGGUCCAAACUCCUACGGGAGGCAGCAGUGAGGAAUAUUGGUCAAUGGGCGCGAGCCUGAACCAGCCAAGUAGCGUGCAGGAUGACGGCCCUAUGGGUUGUAAACUGCUUUUGUGCGGGGAUAAAGUGUGCCACGUGUGGCAUAUUGCAGGUACCGCAUGAAUAAGGACCGGCUAAUUCCGUGCCAGCAGCC
RNAcentral lists this ribosomal RNA (499 nucleotides) under uncultured bacterium. RNAcentral describes it as "bacterial SSU rRNA". It matches the Rfam family "Bacterial small subunit ribosomal RNA", at positions 28 to 516 of the family's 1533-position model. The record is from RNAcentral.